Molecule: long non-coding RNA, 1398 nt
Filed under: Cricetulus griseus (Chinese hamster)
Lineage: Eukaryota; Metazoa; Chordata; Mammalia; Rodentia; Cricetidae
Description: lncRNA (ENSCGRG00015030575.1)
Source: RNAcentral
CACCAGUCUCUACUUCCUUACUCCACUUUUGCUGACUGAGUUGAUGGAGCUUGCUGCCCACAGAGAGCUCGCUGAUUGUCCUGGUUCAGCAAACCUGACUGUCUCUGCCUUGCUGGAAGUCAGCCUAUACUGGAAGUCCGCUUUGGCAACAUCCCUGCCUCAUCCCAGGCAAAGGCCUCUGAGAAUCCUGGAGUACCUUUUAGGUGUCCAGAGCGGCUAAGACUGGCACCACCCCUUCCCUCAAUGGGAACUCAGAUUACACAAAGAAAUGAAUAGGUCAAGGAAUAAGUUAUCUAUAUUUUAUUCCCCUGCCCCAGCCUCUGGCCUCAGGCCACAUCAGUCCCUUCUCCAGUGUGAGAAAAGGCGGGGAGCACCAAGAAGACACUUACCGGCCCUGGCUGCGUGUCAACCCAUGGCUCCUCCUCCAGGGAGUUCGGAGUACAGGUAGAAGGGGAAGACAGGACCAUCUCCAAGUUUGUGGAGGAGUAGGGUAUAGACUAGAGGAGGGCCUCUGGGAGGAGGUGAUGCUGGCUUGAGGUUCUAAGGGCUGAACCUGAAUUUAUCAGUUGACCACAGAGACAGGCAAUGGAACUCUGGAACAGCUUGUACAAAAGGCCUGGAGGUGCAAGGUAACCUGGGGUCGGCUGGGACAGGACCAACCAAUCUAGAGGAACUGGAGUGACACUUCGGAGCUGUCGUUUCUACUGCCUUUAAGCAGGAACAUAGUGUGAUCAGACUCGAUAUUUAGCAGGGUGUCUAAUAAAGAGAUAGGGGACAGACAGGGCUGGGAUCCAAGGGAGGGCAGUGAUGGCUGAGAUGGCAGCUCACUCCCUGCCCUUUACCAGUGUCCCAUUUUCCUGGUUUGUUGAGGAUGCUGGGGCCCACAGAGAUGAGAGGCCUGGGAGUGACUGAGGGUGGUUGGUGGCCCAGGGGCAGCUGCGUUGUCUCUCCUACACCCUUCUUGCAGAACCACACUCUCCAACAGCCAAGCUGUGUUCAAAGAAAGUUUGCUACUGGGCAAUUGCCUCGGCUCUGUGGUUUUCCGUUCAAGAGGGAGCCGAGUUCAUUGAACUUUAGGGCAGCUGUUUCCUCGUCUUCCCUCUGUAGCAAUAAUACAGUUAAUGGGAUUAUUUCCUGCACACAGGAACGGGGCUGCUAAGAAAACAUUGUGGAGUAAAGGCUGUUUGCAGAGGCCAGGUUGAAAGGCAAGCUCACACCAGGAGGAAGAACGGGGUGUGUCUCCUCACGGGCGAAGGUGGAGUGAUGCCAUCCACACCUCAGUUUGCCCUUGGAACCUUUUGCCAAUCCCAUGAAGUCCCAUGAGAGGCUACUAGACUGCCUCCCACAGCAGGAUCUCAGCCUGUGAAAGGUCCCUGCUUCAGGCCAGGCCAGCCAAGC